GUACAUGGCUGUUGGGCAUGUAGAUGAGUUACCACUGGUGGGGGUUUUAUUAUCUCAAAUUCACUUCCUACAACUUCACUGUAAACCUGAAGAAACAAAAAAAAAAAAGCAUCAAGGUAGAGGACUGAGUCUACCUCGUUCAAAGUUCGAAGCAUUGUUUUUUUUUUUUUUUGACAUUAUCAAUGCAUUUAUUGACUUGUUAAAUUCAAAUUUUCCAUUCGAGCUUUUUGGUUUUUUGUACCUGGAAGCUCCUACGAAUGAACUCGUCCUCUCCUUUACCGGUCAUACCGUAAUUGUAGCCUCCAGUUCCGCCACCACCGCCACCACUGCUAUUCAAAAAUGGAUUUGUUGGAUUUCCUCCUUUUAAAAUAAAAAGAACACCAAGAUUACCACCAGCUGUUUGAUAUGUUGCACCAUAACUUGGCUCUUGUGCCAUUUCAUGAAGUCUACUUGAACUUAAUGCUCGAGGUAUAGCAUUACUUGGUACACCAUGUGGUGCAAGAUGUGUUGCUUCAGCAACUUGAUGUGGAUCCUCUGUUUGUGAUAAUCGAUAAACAACUGUACUAUAACGUGGCUUGACAAGUCCACUGUGUUUAACUGGAUCGUAAUUUGCAGCAAAGGAAACGGACAUUGGACUCAUACCACCAGAUGUACGAUAUGCUCUCAUACUUCUGCGUUGUCUAACAAGUGAUGUGACUGUUGUCAUCAAAAUCAUCAUUAACAUCAUCGUCAUCAGUGCUUCGUCUCAUCCGUUCAAAAACAACAUUGGCAGCAACCUCAAGAUCACCAUCAUCUUCAUC
Molecule: long non-coding RNA, 800 nt
Organism: Aphidius gifuensis
Lineage: Eukaryota; Metazoa; Arthropoda; Insecta; Hymenoptera; Braconidae
Exons: 5
Source: RefSeq, a predicted model, not a curated record